UCCCUUGUAGCUCAGUCGGUAAAGAAUCUGCCUGCAGUGCAGAAGACCAGGGUUCAAUCCCUGGGUUGGAA
Molecule: transfer RNA, 71 nt
Filed under: Bos taurus (domestic cattle)
Lineage: Eukaryota; Metazoa; Chordata; Mammalia; Artiodactyla; Bovidae
Also listed under: 2 other names
Rfam family: tRNA
About the family: Transfer RNA (tRNA) molecules are approximately 80 nucleotides in length. Their secondary structure includes four short double-helical elements and three loops (D, anti-codon, and T loops).
Source: Rfam by way of RNAcentral